Regulatory RNA element from Mycobacterium sp. ACS1612, 59 nucleotides. It matches the Rfam family "Actino-pnp RNA". NCBI's taxonomy places the organism in Bacteria, Bacillati, Actinomycetota, Actinomycetes, Mycobacteriales, Mycobacteriaceae. The record is from Rfam.
CGCGGUCUUCGGUAGUGGCUGCCGGGUGCCAAUCCCGACAGCUUCGAUCGAUGGCCGUA